AACUCCACAAGAAAACCAGCUGUCCUUGAUUACAGUGAUAUAUUAGUCACUCUACGGUUGCUGUGCCAGUCAGCAUUUUGCAUACAGCAAAUAAAUGCAGAGAUAUUUUCUAGGCAGAAAUAUGUGGGGACAAAGUUCUGUGCAUGGCUUACCUCUGAGAUGGGCUGAUUUGUUUGUUUAUUUGUUUUUAUAUUGCCAGUUAUAAAGAACAAAGGAUUUGGGGAGGUCUGAGCCAGGAAGGCAUUGAGGAAAUUUUACAUGAAGAUGGUCUUUUGGGGAAUCAACACUUGUUUUGUUCUCCUCCUGGGGGGUGAAUUCCCUGAAUGUGACUUGACCCCAAGAGGUGACUGUGCAGAUUGAGCAAGUAAAAUGCAUACAGAAGUUUCCUCUCCAUAGAUGGUGCUGCAGACAGGAAUUUGCUAAAAGGAAUGCUUGGAAGCCUUUUGGGAACAAUUCCUCUGAGAAAACGACCAUUUUAACAAAACUGUGCUUAGAUGAAUGAACCAGCCUGGACAGCAAAAGAGGCAAAAGUUGCUCUCUGAUCCUAAAAUGAGGAAAAAGACUGAUCUCGAGGAAGAAGAAAUGAAAGGAUAAGCUGAUGAGUUCUUUGCAACUCCCACAUACAAGCUAAGUAUGAUGAUCUGCCUCACGGCCCUAGAGGACUUCCAGUAGUUUCAGGGAGAAAGGAUGUUCUGUUUCUUUUCUCCACAGCAAAGUUUACCAAAAGCAUAGAUAAUGCUCAAAAAAUGAGGAUUUUUCCCCCGGACUAUUGGCUAUUACAAUAUUCCAUUUUAUUUCAUAUUUUCUGUACCAUGUAAUUUGGGCCUUGUACACAGUGUUAAUACAUGCAAUAAUUAUAAUUCUCCUUGACUGCAUCAUAUUUAAAGGUGUAAGCUUCUCAAUUCAUCUCCUUGAGGCAGAUUACCCAGGAGACAACCCGCACAUUACAGAUGGAGCUACUCUGAUCCCAUUAACUGAACAGUGAGGAGAGCAUUUGAAUCACAGACUCCAGAGCCUAGUGAAACCCUGAUCUCAUUAAAAGCAAAGCAGGC
Molecule: long non-coding RNA, 1052 nt
Organism: Passer domesticus (house sparrow)
Lineage: Eukaryota; Metazoa; Chordata; Aves; Passeriformes; Passeridae
Exons: 3
Source: RefSeq, a predicted model, not a curated record